RNAcentral lists this ribosomal RNA (409 nucleotides) under bacterium. Its description in RNAcentral is "partial 16S ribosomal RNA". It matches the Rfam family "Bacterial small subunit ribosomal RNA", at positions 355 to 776 of the family's 1533-position model. The record is from RNAcentral.
UGGGGAAUAUUGCACAAUGGGCGAAAGCCUGAUGCAGCGACGCCGCGUGAGGGAUGACGGCCUUCGGGUUGUAAACCUCUUUCAGCAGGGACGAAGCGCAAGUGACGGUACCUGCAGAAGAAGCACCGGCUAACUACGUGCCAGCAGCCGCGGUAAUACGUAGGGUGCAAGCGUUGUCCGGAAUUACUGGGCGUAAAGAGUUCGUAGGCGGUUUGUCGCGUCGUUUGUGAAAACCAGCAGCUCAACUGCUGGCUUGCAGGCGAUACGAGCAGACUUGAGUACUGCAGGGGAGACUGGAAUUCCUGGUGUAGCGGUGAAAUGCGCAGAUAUCAGGAGGAACACCGGUGGCGAAGGCGGGUCUCUGGGCAGUAACUGACGCUGAGGAACGAAAGCGUGGGUAGCGAACAGG